Molecule: small RNA, 44 nt
Filed under: Arabidopsis thaliana (thale cress)
Lineage: Eukaryota; Viridiplantae; Streptophyta; Magnoliopsida; Brassicales; Brassicaceae
Description: ATSL175770
Source: RNAcentral
GAAAAUCAGUGAAGUCAUCUGAAGGGCUAAAGUAAUUGAACUUU